RNAcentral lists this ribosomal RNA (426 nucleotides) under uncultured bacterium. RNAcentral's name for it is "bacterial SSU rRNA". It matches the Rfam family "Bacterial small subunit ribosomal RNA", at positions 355 to 787 of the family's 1533-position model. The record is from RNAcentral.
UGGGGAAUAUUGCACAAUGGGCGAAAGCCUGAUGCAGCGACGCCGCGUGGGGGAUGACGGCCUUCGGGUUGUAAACCCCUUUCGGCGGGGAACAAGCCGCUUCGGCGGUGAGGGUACCCGCGGAAGAAGCGCCGGCUAACUACGUGCCAGCAGCCGCGGUAAUACGUAGGGUGCGAGCGUUGUCCGGAAUUAUUGGGCGUAAAGGGCUCGUAGGCAGUCUGUCGCGUCGGGAGUGAAAACUCAGGGCUUAACCCUGAGCCUGCUUCCGAUACGGGCAGACUAGAGGUAUGCAGGGGAGAACGGAAUUCCUGGUGUAGCGGUGAAAUGCGCAGAUAUCAGGAGGAACACCGGUGGCGAAGGCGGUUCUCUGGGCAUUACCUGACGCUGAGGAGCGAAAGUGUGGGGAGCGAACAGGAUUAGAUACCC